UGAUGAUGCUGACCCGCUGACCCUGCUUUCUGUUCAACAGGUGUGGCCUGUGAAAAAAUAUUCAUAGAAACAACCUGAAUUUUGCAGAGAACCAAAAGAGCGACUCUCAAAACUGCUUAAGAGGCUCAGAGACCUUCACUGUGAGCUACACAUCAUAGACUAAACAUGAAGUAUAUACUACUAUGGAUGUCUAGUCACAUCAAAUGUCAACGUCCUGGGAAUGGUUCAAGAAUGAUUAUGAUACUACCAACUCCUACAAUAAGACUCAAGUUGAUGUUGGAAAGGAUGCAAACUCUGAUUGUGUGUAGCCCUCUGCAACAAGGCUCCACCAGCAGCCUUCCCAGGAGCAGACACUGUUCUAAAUGACGAGAAUCAAAG
This is a non-coding RNA of Myodes glareolus (Bank vole), 378 nucleotides long. The record is from RefSeq and is a predicted model, not a curated record. Lineage: Eukaryota; Metazoa; Chordata; Mammalia; Rodentia; Cricetidae.